RNAcentral lists this ribosomal RNA (2926 nucleotides) under Escherichia coli. RNAcentral describes it as "bacterial LSU rRNA". It matches the Rfam family "Bacterial large subunit ribosomal RNA". The record is from RNAcentral. Lineage: Bacteria; Pseudomonadati; Pseudomonadota; Gammaproteobacteria; Enterobacterales; Enterobacteriaceae.
GGGUUGUGAGGUUAAGCGACUAAGCGUACACGGUGGAUGCCCUGGCAGUCAGAGGCGAUGAAGGACGUGCUAAUCUGCGAUAAGCGUCGGUGAGGUGAUAUGAACCGUUAUAACCGGCGAUUUCCGAAUGGGGAAACCCAGUGUGUUUCGACACACUAUCAUUAACUGAAUCCAUAGGUUAAUGAGGCGAACCGGGGGAACUGAAACAUCUAAGUACCCCGAGGAAAAGAAAUCAACCGAGAUUCCCCCAGUAGCGGCGAGCGAACGGGGAGGAGCCCAGAGCCUGAAUCAGUGUGUGUGUUAGUGGAAGCGUCUGGAAAGGCGUGCGAUACAGGGUGACAGCCCCGUACACAAAAAUGCACAUAUUGUGAGCUCGAUGAGUAGGGCGGGACACGUGGUAUCCUGUCUGAAUAUGGGGGGACCAUCCUCCAAGGCUAAAUACUCCUGACUGACCGAUAGUGAACCAGUACCGUGAGGGAAAGGCGAAAAGAACCCCGGCGAGGGGAGUGAAAAAGAACCUGAAACCGUGUACGUACAAGCAGUGGGAGCCUCUUAAUGGGGUGACUGCGUACCUUUUGUAUAAUGGGUCAGCGACUUAUAUUCUGUAGCAAGGUUAACCGAAUAGGGGAGCCGAAGGGAAACCGAGUCUUAACUGGGCGUUAAGUUGCAGGGUAUAGACCCGAAACCCGGUGAUCUAGCCAUGGGCAGGUUGAAGGUUGGGUAACACUAACUGGAGGACCGAACCGACUAAUGUUGAAAAAUUAGCGGAUGACUUGUGGCUGGGGGUGAAAGGCCAAUCAAACCGGGAGAUAGCUGGUUCUCCCCGAAAGCUAUUUAGGUAGCGCCUCGUGAAUUCAUCUCCGGGGGUAGAGCACUGUUUCGGCAAGGGGGUCAUCCCGACUUACCAACCCGAUGCAAACUGCGAAUACCGGAGAAUGUUAUCACGGGAGACACACGGCGGGUGCUAACGUCCGUCGUGAAGAGGGAAACAACCCAGACCGCCAGCUAAGGUCCCAAAGUCAUGGUUAAGUGGGAAACGAUGUGGGAAGGCCCAGACAGCCAGGAUGUUGGCUUAGAAGCAGCCAUCAUUUAAAGAAAGCGUAAUAGCUCACUGGUCGAGUCGGCCUGCGCGGAAGAUGUAACGGGGCUAAACCAUGCACCGAAGCUGCGGCAGCGACGCUUAUGCGUUGUUGGGUAGGGGAGCGUUCUGUAAGCCUGUGAAGGUGUGCUGUGAGGCAUGCUGGAGGUAUCAGAAGUGCGAAUGCUGACAUAAGUAACGAUAAAGCGGGUGAAAAGCCCGCUCGCCGGAAGACCAAGGGUUCCUGUCCAACGUUAAUCGGGGCAGGGUGAGUCGACCCCUAAGGCGAGGCCGAAAGGCGUAGUCGAUGGGAAACAGGUUAAUAUUCCUGUACUUGGUGUUACUGCGAAGGGGGGACGGAGAAGGCUAUGUUGGCCGGGCGACGGUUGUCCCGGUUUAAGCGUGUAGGCUGGUUUUCCAGGCAAAUCCGGAAAACCAAGGCUGAGGCGUGAUGACGAGGCACUACGGUGCUGAAGCGACAAAUGCCCUGCUUCCAGGAAAAGCCUCUAAGCAUCAGGUAACAUCAAAUCGUACCCCAAACCGACACAGGUGGUCAGGUAGAGAAUACCAAGGCGCUUGAGAGAACUCGGGUGAAGGAACUAGGCAAAAUGGUGCCGUAACUUCGGGAGAAGGCACGCUGAUAUGUAGGUGAAGCGACUUGCUCGUGGAGCUGAAAUCAGUCGAAGAUACCAGCUGGCUGCAACUGUUUAUUAAAAACACAGCACUGUGCAAACACGAAAGUGGACGUAUACGGUGUGACGCCUGCCCGGUGCCGGAAGGUUAAUUGAUGGGGUUAGCGGUAACGCGAAGCUCUUGAUCGAAGCCCCGGUAAACGGCGGCCGUAACUAUAACGGUCCUAAGGUAGCGAAAUUCCUUGUCGGGUAAGUUCCGACCUGCACGAAUGGCGUAAUGAUGGCCAGGCUGUCUCCACCCGAGACUCAGUGAAAUUGAACUCGCUGUGAAGAUGCAGUGUACCCGCGGCAAGACGGAAAGACCCCGUGAACCUUUACUAUAGCUUGACACUGAACAUUGAGCCUUGAUGUGUAGGAUAGGUGGGAGGCUUUGAAGUGUGGACGCCAGUCUGCAUGGAGCCGACCUUGAAAUACCACCCUUUAAUGUUUGAUGUUCUAACGUUGGCCCGUAAUCCGGGUUGCGGACAGUGUCUGGUGGGUAGUUUGACUGGGGCGGUCUCCUCCUAAAGAGUAACGGAGGAGCACGAAGGUUGGCUAAUCCUGGUCGGACAUCAGGAGGUUAGUGCAAUGGCAUAAGCCAGCUUGACUGCGAGCGUGACGGCGCGAGCAGGUGCGAAAGCAGGUCAUAGUGAUCCGGUGGUUCUGAAUGGAAGGGCCAUCGCUCAACGGAUAAAAGGUACUCCGGGGAUAACAGGCUGAUACCGCCCAAGAGUUCAUAUCGACGGCGGUGUUUGGCACCUCGAUGUCGGCUCAUCACAUCCUGGGGCUGAAGUAGGUCCCAAGGGUAUGGCUGUUCGCCAUUUAAAGUGGUACGCGAGCUGGGUUUAGAACGUCGUGAGACAGUUCGGUCCCUAUCUGCCGUGGGCGCUGGAGAACUGAGGGGGGCUGCUCCUAGUACGAGAGGACCGGAGUGGACGCAUCACUGGUGUUCGGGUUGUCAUGCCAAUGGCACUGCCCGGUAGCUAAAUGCGGAAGAGAUAAGUGCUGAAAGCAUCUAAGCACGAAACUUGCCCCGAGAUGAGUUCUCCCUGAGACUUAGAGUCUCCUGAAGGAACGUUGAAGACGACGACGUUGAUAGGCCGGGUGUGUAAGCGCAGCGAUGCGUUGAGCUAACCGGUACUAAUGAACCGUGAGGCUUAACCUUACAACGCCGAAG